This 497-nucleotide ribosomal RNA is filed under the name uncultured bacterium. RNAcentral's name for it is "partial 16S ribosomal RNA". It matches the Rfam family "Bacterial small subunit ribosomal RNA", at positions 28 to 507 of the family's 1533-position model. The record is from RNAcentral.
GAUGAACGCUGGCGGCGUGCCUAAUACAUGCAAGUCGAGCGAACGGACGAGAAGCUUGCUUCUCUGAUGUUAGCGGCGGACGGGUGAGUAACACGUGGAUAACCUACCUAUAAGACUGGGAUAACUUCGGGACACCGGAGCUAAUACCGGAUAAUAUUUUGAACCGCAUGGUUCAAAAGUGAAAGACGGUCUUGCUGUCACUUAUAGAUGGAUCCGCGCUGCAUUAGCUAGUUGGUAAGGUAACGGCUUACCAAGGCAACGAUGCAUAGCCGACCUGAGAGGGUGAUCGGCCACACGGGAACUGAGACACGGUCCAGACUCCUACGGGAGGCAGCAGUAGGGAAUCUGCCGCAAUGGGCGAGAGCCUGACGGAGCAACGCCGCGUGAGUGAUGAAGGUCUUCGGAUCGUAAAACUCUGUUAUUAGGGAAGAACAUAUGUGUAAGUAACUGUGCACAUCGUGACGGUACCUAAUCAGAAAGCCACGGCUAACUACGUG